UUAACGGGCUGAAAUACUAAA
This is a non-coding RNA of Caenorhabditis elegans, 21 nucleotides long. NCBI's taxonomy places the organism in Eukaryota, Metazoa, Nematoda, Chromadorea, Rhabditida, Rhabditidae. The record is from Ensembl.